Molecule: long non-coding RNA, 2495 nt
Organism: Canis lupus familiaris (dog)
Lineage: Eukaryota; Metazoa; Chordata; Mammalia; Carnivora; Canidae
Exons: 6
Source: RefSeq, a predicted model, not a curated record
ACCAAAUUCCUUCUCAAUUGAUCAAGGCUAAAUCCCACCCUUGCCCAUACUCAAAUGAUAUAAAUGCUGAGCUAAGGAGUACAUCAUUUCCUUAUAUGAAAAAUCACAGAAGGCCUGGAAGUUCACCUCCCUAACUGGUUAAUGGUAUCUAUGUCUGUGGAAGUAAGAGGAGGCCAAGAUUAAAGAGAAAGGGAUUUAAAGGGGUGUUAUACCUUUAUUUUGGCAGUGGCAGCACCGAGCUGCUCUGGGGGACCCUCUCCCCAGUGGCAAGAAAAGAAUAUGCCCAGCUGAGGCAGAUGGAUAACUACAUUCCCCAAAUCCUACCUUCAUCAGUUAUAUCCCGGUGAGAGCAUGUGACAGACCGUGGCCAAUGGACUCCAGAGACAAAUGAUGCAUGCAUAUGCAUCACUUCAGGGUCUGGCUGGAGGGGUCCAGAUGCUGGUUGACCAUAAUUCUUACUCCUGGAAAAACUGGAGUCAACUAUCAGGGACAGAGACUCCAGAAUAAUCAGCAGGAACGACUCAGUCCCCCAGGGACUCCUCCCAUGUGCUUCGUGGACAGAGUGGUGGAGAGACUGGGAGGGGCCUUGGAAGUAGCAACAAAAGGGGUUAAGAAAAAAAAAAUAAAAGAAAAAAAAAAAAACAUUUAACCACAGUCAAUGAAAUUAGAUAAAAUUAUCUGCUAGUCUUUAUGUAAAGACCUAAUGCUGCCCUCUACCAUAAAGGCUCUAUACAGCUUGUAAGAUACAGUAAAAUUAAUUUUAUAUUGGGCUGCCAGGUGCUGUUAGAAUAGCAUGUUUAUAUAAGCAGCCCCAGAGCUUCAAACAUUGAGUUGUAAAGGCCAAGUCUCAGUGAGUGGCUUAGCAAAGAGAAACUCAAAUCCCUGCAUUCCCCCUGGGGCAAAGUCUAGGCAAUCUUUAUGACUGUACACCCUGUUGGGUGUUUUUCCUCAAAUAGUUCCUCCUGACAGCACCUGGCAGAGCCCUGAAUGAGAAUGGUGUGACCUGUCUCUGGGGUUUGCUUCACAGCAAGUUGGAAGUGAAUUGGAAAUGACUGUAUUUGAAAACUUGGUAAAGAGAAUACCUAUAUAUAAAGACACAGAUUAGACUUUCUCCAGCUUCAAAUAAAAGAAGCCAGGAUCAUUGUAGGGAAGAUGAAAAUAAGCUGAGGCAGGCGUGAUUGGAAAAUCUCGAGACAGUGUUUGAAGCAGUGGCUCCCAGUCCAACAAAGGUGGUAUACAGUUGUUGAGAGAGGAAGCCAUGUCCCUUCACCUGCUUCCUUUGUGUAGAUGGGCUCAUGGAAUAUCACCAGUGGAAUAAGAGCAGAAGGCAUGAGUGGCUCUUUCAGACCUGUACCAUCUCCCUUUCUCCUUCUGCUGGAUUUUUGCAGAAAACCACAAUCACCUGGAAAUCACACAUUGAAUGACAGAGCCACAAUGUGGAAGGAGCCUGGGUCUUUCCAUUACUGCUUGGAGAAAAAGAAAUCCAGAAUGUCCAGAUAUGCUUGAAGAUCCAGUGUUGGGAAAGGAGAGGUAGAAAAGUCCCAGUAUUGUGUAGAUGAUGUCUUGAAUACCAUGACUAGAUGGAUUGUUUACCCUGGAGAGUCCUCCAAGAAUAUAUGUUCUCAGUGGUGAUGAUGGCCAUCCCCUUUCUUUGUGUGACACCAAUUCCAGCAGCAGGAACCCUCCACUUAUAAUUUUAUGUGAUCAUUGAAUCUAUUUAAAUAAAGAAAGCAGAGAGGAAUUUACCCAUUCAACAGAUGAAUAGAGAAUCCUAGAUGGAAUAUGACUUAACAAUAUCACAAAAUAUUAAAGAACAAGCUCAAGUCAAGAACCCAGGACUCAAAAUUUCAUCUUUCCAUCCAUUCAUUGAUUCAGCUAAUGUUCAUUAAGCACUAAUUUGCUGAGCACUGUCCACCUCCAGGUAUUGCUUAACACAUCCUCAUGCUAUGCUUCCAUAGUACAGACACAUAUAUCUCUCUCCUGCUUAGUGUGUUGUAAAGCAUGCCCCUUCCCCCUUCCCUCCCAUCCUCUUCCAACCUGUGAUGGACAAAAUUAUGGGAGGAGUGUCAUAUGGCAAGAAAGCAUUGAACCUCACUUAUGCACAGUCUGGAAUUUGGCUGAAAGUACCUAAGUUCAAGAAUUGGACAAUGUUUAAUGGCUCCCCAAGGACCUAGAAGCAUUCUCUCAGUGCCUCAGCCUGGGCUUCAGAUUUACAAAUUGAGAAAGGCAGCUUUCGGUUCAGAGCCUGGAUCCAUAAACACCACAAUCCAGCUUUACUGGCUAUAAGCCAUCACAGCAUCUGGGAUAAACAUGGGACAAUCCCACACAGACGCAGCCUGCUUGGUCACUACCACAGACAUUGGGACACUCAGAUUGAGAAGCUAGCUUCCAUCCAAGGGUGCUUCCAUCAAAGCAAGAAAUAAAAUGUGAAAGACUCUUCCAGAGGCCUUCAGUGGGAGCCAAGGAUGACCACUGGUGGUCCAAUCCUUCAACUC